UACAGAGGGUGCAAGCGUUGUUCGGAUUUACUGGGCGUAAAGGGCGCGUAGGCGGCGCGGUAAGUCACUUGUGAAAUCUCUGAGCUUAACUCAGAACGGCCAAGUGAUACUGCAGUGCUAGAGUGCAGAAAGGGCAAUCGGAAUUCUUGGUGUAGCGGUGAAAUGCGUAGAUAUCAAGAGGAACACCUGAGGCGAAGGCGGGUUGCUAGGCUGACACUGACGCUGAGUGCGCGAAAGCCAGGGGAGCAAACGGG
Molecule: ribosomal RNA, 254 nt
Filed under: uncultured bacterium
Lineage: Bacteria
Description: partial 16S ribosomal RNA
Rfam family: Bacterial small subunit ribosomal RNA
Source: RNAcentral